CCUACGGGAGUCAGCAGUGAGGAAUAUUGGUCAAUGGACGAGAGUCUGAACCAGCCAAGUAGCGUGAAGGAUGACUGCCCUAUGGGUUGUAAACUUCUUUUAUACAGGAAUAAAACGAGGCACGUGUGCCUUUUUGCAUGUACUUUAUGAAUAAGGAUCGGCUAACUCCGUGCCAGCAGCCGCGGUCAUACGGAGGAUCCGAGCGUUAUCCGGAUUUCUUGGGUUUAAAGGGAGCGUAGAUGGGUUGUUAAGUCAGUUGUGAAAGUUUGCGGCUCAACCGUAAAAUUGCAAUUGAUACUGGCAGUCUUGAGUACAGUUGAGGUAGGCGGAAUUCGUGGUGUAGCGGUGAAAUGCUUAGAUAUCACGAAGAACCCCGAUUGCGAAGGCAGCUUACUAAACUGUGACUGACAUUGAUGCUCGAAAGUGUGGGUAUCAAACAGGAUUAGAUACCCGGGUAGUC
This 460-nucleotide ribosomal RNA is filed under the name uncultured bacterium. RNAcentral describes it as "partial 16S ribosomal RNA". It matches the Rfam family "Bacterial small subunit ribosomal RNA", at positions 338 to 795 of the family's 1533-position model. The record is from RNAcentral.